AUGAGAGGGAGAGAGAGGAGGGAGAAAGAGAGGAAGAGGAGAGGAGGCACGGCGUCGGAUGGGAGAGUGGCCAACCCGGCUCGCGUCGGCUUGGGCCGCACCCCUCCCCGAAGAACGGCGAUGAUGGAGGGAUCCGCCGGCACCAUCCAGGCUCCCGACCGACGGACUCGCUGGGUCGCCACCCCUCCCGUGCGGUGGGGACAUCCACGGCGAUGCGGGCUGGGGACCGAGCGGCGGGGCCCGUGCCGAGGCCUUGCGGUCAUGAGGACGUCGGGUCCUCCGUACAUCGUGUUCGUUCCACGGUGGCGCGGGCGGCGACAAGCUUCAACUCUGCAUCGGGAGCAGCGACGCCGACACAAGCUUCAGUUCAUUGCUAAUCUUGGCCGGUGGUUUCGUUUUGUCUACGGCAUCGGGUCGCUUUGUGCUCCGUUGUGUGGUUGA
This 441-nucleotide ribosomal RNA is filed under the name Triticum aestivum (bread wheat). Its description in RNAcentral is "partial small subunit ribosomal RNA". The record is from RNAcentral. Lineage: Eukaryota; Viridiplantae; Streptophyta; Magnoliopsida; Poales; Poaceae.